This 330-nucleotide long non-coding RNA is filed under the name Rosa chinensis. Its description in RNAcentral is "sRNA RchiOBHm_Chr0c31g0501301". Lineage: Eukaryota; Viridiplantae; Streptophyta; Magnoliopsida; Rosales; Rosaceae. The record is from RNAcentral.
UUCCUUCAUCCAUCUCAUCUUCUUUGUCUCUCCAUUUCCUUUCCAUUUUUCUCUCCAUUCUCUAGUUUUAAGUUUCUGCAUUUUUAAGCAAAGAGAAGAAGAGAAGAAGAAGCCAUGAAGCCUCCUAGCCGUCAUCAUCCACCUUGUGCCGUGAUAGUGAAGUCUUGCUUUAAAGAUUCAAGAUCAACGUCUCAAGCUCUUCAUCAUCCACUCCCUUCAUGGUAUUUGUAGAACUAUGAAUUCUAGUUAACAAAUAAUGUUAAGGGCAAAGUUUAAAGCCCGUUUAUAUGUUUUGAGAUAAAGUUGUGAUUUCUAUAUGUUGAUUUUUAU